AGGGUGCCUGAAACCACAGGAGACUCCACGGGAAGAAGUUGCGGAGGAGAACUGGAAGGAGGAAGGGCCCCAGCGGCUUGGAGACCGGCGACAAGGGCAGUUUGUUCCCUGUUCAUGAGCCAUCAGUGUUAUGAAGAGAUGCCAUCUCAGAAGAUCUAGACUUCAUUCUCUUCCUGCCUGUGCUGAGGUAAUAAAGAAGAAACACUUUAAAAACAAACAGAACAAAAAC
Lemur catta (Ring-tailed lemur) is the source of this 229-nucleotide long non-coding RNA. RefSeq lists it as uncharacterized. Lineage: Eukaryota; Metazoa; Chordata; Mammalia; Primates; Lemuridae. The transcript is spliced from 3 exons. The record is from RefSeq and is a predicted model, not a curated record.